This 24-nucleotide non-coding RNA is filed under the name Mus musculus (house mouse). The record is from RNAcentral. Lineage: Eukaryota; Metazoa; Chordata; Mammalia; Rodentia; Muridae.
CGUGUAUUUGACAAGCUGAGUUGG